This 1326-nucleotide unclassified non-coding RNA is filed under the name Hevea brasiliensis (rubber tree). Lineage: Eukaryota; Viridiplantae; Streptophyta; Magnoliopsida; Malpighiales; Euphorbiaceae. The record is from RNAcentral.
AAUAAAUAGAAGUUCACAUCGUAUAAUAUACAGUAAUACAAGAGAAUCGAACUCCACAAAUAAAAUUGAAGAUAGAUAGGGCUAAAAUUAGUUACAUUUAUCUCCUAGAUUUUGUAUACCUAUACACUAAGGCUACAGAAGGUCAAAAUGGGUGUCAUACUACAUGAAAGAUAUUUCUUAUUUGGACUACUUCACAGGACUGCUCUAUAGUGGAGAUGGCGAAAUACAACAAUCUGUUUUGGCCAACAUAAUUAGAAGUUAAACUCCAUAUUGGAAGCCUUACCACAUGAUGCAUCUUAAAGCUGAAUGACAAAACUGGCAACUCUUGGCCAUGGGAGUGCUAUGAAUCCCAAUGAUCCGUUAAGUCCCCUCCAUGUUAUUUUUGUUUUUUCCAGGGUUACAGCUUGGAAUAGCAGUUCCCAUAUAUUAUAUCACAGCAUAACCUGUACAUUUGUUCAAGCUGUUCCAGUAAUCAAUCUUUCUCGUUCAUCUAAUUUUUUAACCUUCAGAAGGCCAAACAGGACUUGGAAGCCAAAGAAUGCACAGGCAGUGUACGCUAUAAUAGAGGGGAUACGGACGGAGUUGAGAUACAAAAUUGUAGCUAGGUUAACCAAGCUUCCAGCGGCUACUCCACUUCCAAUUGUCUUCUGAACAGCAGCAACACGUUGGAAAGCCCUUUCAGAUUCUAAAGCUCUAACCCGAAGCUUAAGGUCACCUUGCUCCAGUCGCUGGAUAAUUGCAGCAAGUUUCUCAACUCUAUCAGCCUGCCUGAACAAGUUGUAGAAUGCCUGAGACUGUCUGUCCCAUCUCUUCCUGAAGUCCUUUACCGCGACUUCAAUACCAGCUUCACGAAACCUAAGCAACUCUAGGGCAUAGGGUUUGGCUAUCUCAGUGAUAUCAAAUCGUGGAUCAAGACCCUUCCCAAUGCCAUCCAAAACUGAAAAUGCUCUAACCACAAAAGUAAAUGUGGCAGGAAAUCGGAAUGGCUGAUCUGCUGCAAUGGCUAGUAGAUCUUCACCAAUUGCAGCCAAACGUUGCUUCUUUUUCUCCUUUAGUUCCUCCUUGGUCAAUGGCUUUUUGAACCCAAGUUCUGCUUGUGCCAUUUCUCUCUCCUUUCUUUGUGCUGCAAGGCGCUCUUCAAAGCUAUUAAGGAAAAACUGUGCAGUUCGUCUGACAGCAGUCAUGUCGCCAGUAGGAACCAGAAUACCCAUUUGAAUACUUGCUUGCAGGACCUUAUCUGGAUCUUUCUCAUAAACUCCAUAGAACGUUUCCAGCAAGCCUUCUCUGAUAUUAGGACUUAUGCUUCCCAUCAUUCCAAAAUCAUAA